This is a small nuclear RNA of Pan paniscus (pygmy chimpanzee), 104 nucleotides long. The record is from Ensembl. NCBI's taxonomy places the organism in Eukaryota, Metazoa, Chordata, Mammalia, Primates, Hominidae.
GUGCUCUCUUUGGCAGCACAUAUACUAAAAUUGGAACAAUACAGAGAUUAGCAUGGCCCCUGCACAAGGAUGAUGUGCAAAUUUUUGAAGUGUUCCAUAUUUUU